AACGCGAAGAACCUUACCAACCUUUGACAUGUCCCGUAUGAGCACCAGAGAUGUAGUUCUUCAGUUCGGCUGGCGGGAACACAGGUGCUGCAUGGCUGUCGUCAGCUCGUGUCGUGAGAUGUUGGGUUAAGUCCCGCAACGAGCGCAACCCUUGUCCUGUGUUGCCAUCAUUCAGUUGGGAACUCGCAGGAGACCGCCAGCGAUAAGUUGGAGGAAGGUGGGGAUGACGUCAAGUCCUCAUGGCCUUUAUGUCCAGGGCUACACACGUGCUACAAUGGCGAGUACAAAGCGCUGCAAACCUGCAAGGGGGAGCCAAUCGCAAAAAGCUCGUCUCAGUUCGGAUUGGAGUCUGCAACUCGACUCCAUGAAGCUGGAAUCGCUAGUAACCGCUGAUCAGCAAGCAGCGGUGAAUACGUUCCCGGCCUUGUACACACCG
Molecule: ribosomal RNA, 436 nt
Filed under: uncultured bacterium
Lineage: Bacteria
Description: bacterial SSU rRNA
Rfam family: Bacterial small subunit ribosomal RNA
Source: RNAcentral